This 494-nucleotide ribosomal RNA is filed under the name uncultured bacterium. RNAcentral's name for it is "partial 16S ribosomal RNA". It matches the Rfam family "Bacterial small subunit ribosomal RNA", at positions 28 to 507 of the family's 1533-position model. The record is from RNAcentral.
GACGAACGCUGGCGGCGUGCUUAACACAUGCAAGUCGAACGGUGAAGCGCCUUCCUUUUUGGUGGGUGUGGAUGAGUGGCGAACGGGUGAGUAACACGUGAGUAACCUGCCCCCUUCUUCUGGAUAACCGCAUGAAAGUGUGGCUAAUACGGGAUAUUCUGGGUCUGUCGCAUGAUGGGUCUGGGAAAGAUAUUGUUUCGGUGGGGGAUGGGCUCGCGGCCUAUCAGCUUGUUGGUGGGGUGAUGGCCUACCAAGGCGGUGACGGGUAGCCGGCCUGAGAGGGUGGACGGUCACACUGGGACUGAGACACGGCCCAGACUCCUACGGGAGGCAGCAGUGGGGAAUAUUACACAAUGGGCGCAAGCCUGAUGCAGCGACGCCGCGUGAGGGAUGGAGGCCUGCGGGUUGUGAACCUCUUUCGCCAGUGAAGCAGGCCUGCCUCGUUUGUGGGUGGGUUGACGGUAGCUGGAUAAGAAGCGCCGGCUAACUACGUG